GGCGAACCGGGGGAACUGAAACAUCUAAGUACCCCGAGGAAAAGAAAUCAACCGAGAUUCCGAAAGUAGCGGCGAGCGAAAUUGGACUAGCCCUUAAGCUUUACACGCGUUAGACGAACGGUCUGGAAAGUCCGACGAUACAGGGUGAUAGUCCCGUAGUUGACGACGUGUGUUCAGUGAAAUCGAGUAGGGCGGGACACGUGAUAUCCUGUCUGAAUAUGGGGGGACCAUCCUCCAAGGCUAAAUACUACUGACUGACCGAUAGUGAACCAGUACCGUGAGGGAAAGGCGAAAAGAACCCCUGUGAGGGGAGUGAAAUAGAACCUGAAACCGUGUACGUACAAGCAGUAGGAGCAGGCUUUGUCCUGUGACUGCGUACCUUUUGUAUAAUGGGUCAGCGACUUAUAUUCAGUGGCAAGGUUAACCAUCUAGGGGAGCCGUAGGGAAACCGAGUCUUAACUGGGCGUUCAGUCUCUGGAUAUAGACCCGAAACCAGGUGAUCUAGCCAUGGGCAGGUUGAAGGUUGAGUAACAUCAACUGGAGGACCGAACCGACUAAUGUUGAAAAAUUAGCGGAUGACUUGUGGCUAGGGGUGAAAGGCCAAUCAAACCUGGAGAUAGCUGGUUCUCCCCGAAAGCUAUUUAGGUAGCGCCUCGGACGAAUACUACUGGGGGUAGAGCACUGUUAAGGCUAGGGGGUCAUCCCGACUUACCAACCCUUUGCAAACUCCGAAUACCAGUAAGUACUAUCCGGGAGACACACGGCGGGUGCUAACGUCCGUCGUGGAGAGGGAAACAACCCAGACCGCCAGCUAAGGUCCCAAAUUACUACUAAGUGGGAAACGAUGUGGGAAGGCUCAGACAGCCAGGAUGUUGGCUUAGAAGCAGCCAUCAUUUAAAGAAAGCGUAAUAGCUCACUGGUCGAGUCGGCCUGCGCGGAAGAUGUAACGGGGCUAAGUAGUAAACCGAAGCUGCGGCAAUGUGCUUUUGCACAUUGGGUAGGGGAGCGUUCUGUAAGCGGUUGAAGGUGUGUGGUAACGCAUGCUGGACGUAUCAGAAGUGCGAAUGCUGACAUGAGUAACGAUAAAGGGGGUGAAAAACCUCCUCGCCGGAAGACCAAGGGUUCCUGUCCAACGUUAAUCGGGGCAGGGUAAGUCGACCCCUAAGGCGAGGCCGAAAGGCGUAGUCGAUGGGAAACGGGUUAAUAUUCCCGUACUUCUUACAAUUGCGAUGGGGGGACGGAGAAGGCUAGGUGGGCCUGGCGACGGUUGUCCAGGUUCAAGUGCGUAGGCUU
Molecule: ribosomal RNA, 1293 nt
Filed under: Vibrio parahaemolyticus
Lineage: Bacteria; Pseudomonadati; Pseudomonadota; Gammaproteobacteria; Vibrionales; Vibrionaceae
Description: partial 23S ribosomal RNA
Rfam family: Bacterial large subunit ribosomal RNA
Source: RNAcentral